GCCGGGUGUGGUGGUGCAUGCCUGUAAUCCCAGCUACUCAGGAGGCUGAGGCAGGAGAAUUGCUUGAACCCAGGCAGCAGAGGUUGCAGUGAGCCCAGAUCAGGCCACUGCACUCCAACCUGGGUGACAAAGUGAAACUCUGUCUCAA
RNAcentral lists this non-coding RNA (148 nucleotides) under Pan troglodytes (chimpanzee). The record is from Rfam by way of RNAcentral. Lineage: Eukaryota; Metazoa; Chordata; Mammalia; Primates; Hominidae.